CCAUCGCUCCCUGUAUAAUAGUAUACGCGUCGGUCCAUGCUUGUUUUGUGUCCGCCGUGAAUUUGUCGCCAAGACUGGUCUCGAGUGUCCACAGAAGCGCUGAACCGACAUGCUAGAACGAACACGGUCGUGGAGAAUACACCCAACAGAGACAUUAGAAGUCCUUUCCAAAUGUCCCCGAACAACAGGCUGUAACAAGAUAAGGAGGACCUGGGGCAUUAGUAGUUAUACUUAUCGUCAAUCUUGCCUUGAGGGUAGAGGGAGAGAAGAGAAGAGCUACGUAAUAGUGCUAUAAGCCAUGUCCCUUCGCUGCUGACCGGCGGGACAAUGUAACAGUGCUUUUUAAAGUGGACCGUUGUUUUACCGUUGUGUUUACGCAGGUCAAAAAUAUGACUUGGACAAAAUACACACGAGUGGCUAUGCGUCCGUGUAGGGCUAUUACAAUCGUAACUUAACGAAUAUCCAAUACCCGAUCGUUUUAGUGUAUUUUGUGAAUGAGUAGAUGGGCGGGUGGCGCUGACGCUGAUGAAACUUGGGAAUAGUAAACAAACAAAACGUUUUCAAGGACUUUAUUUUUUUAGACCCUUUUCGCCCUAUAGCGGCGCUCGACGUCAAACCAAUGAUAAGGUCAUGAUGAAGACUGAAAACUUGCACUCAGACGAAACGACUUAUGUCUAUGUUGCAUCCCAAA
Molecule: long non-coding RNA, 691 nt
Organism: Nematostella vectensis (starlet sea anemone)
Lineage: Eukaryota; Metazoa; Cnidaria; Anthozoa; Actiniaria; Edwardsiidae
Exons: 2
Source: RefSeq, a predicted model, not a curated record